RNAcentral lists this ribosomal RNA (433 nucleotides) under uncultured bacterium. Its description in RNAcentral is "partial 16S ribosomal RNA". It matches the Rfam family "Bacterial small subunit ribosomal RNA", at positions 29 to 507 of the family's 1533-position model. The record is from RNAcentral.
AACGAACGCUGGCGGCAUGCCUAACACAUGCAAGUCGAACGAGACCUUCGGGUCUAGUGGCGCACGGGUGCGUAACGCGUGGUAACCUGCCCUUAGGUUCGGAAUAACUCCCCGAAAGGGGUGCUAAUACCGGAUAAUGUCUCCGGACCAAAGAUUUAUCGCCUUUGGUUGGGCCCGCGUUGGAUUAUCUAGUUGGUAGGGUAAAAGCCUACCAAGGCGACGAUCCAUAGCUGGUCUGAGAGGAUGAUCAGCCACACUGGGACUGAGACACGGCCCAGACUCCUACGGGAGGCAGCAGUGGGGAAUAUUGGACAAUGGGCGAAAGCCUGAGCCAGCCAUGCCGCGUGAGUGAUGAAGGCGUUAGGGUUGUAAAGCUCUUUUACCCGGGAUGAUAAUGACAGUACCGGGAGAAUAAGCUCCGGCUAACUACGUG